RNAcentral lists this ribosomal RNA (465 nucleotides) under Vreelandella stevensii. Its description in RNAcentral is "partial 16S ribosomal RNA". It matches the Rfam family "Bacterial small subunit ribosomal RNA", at positions 338 to 795 of the family's 1533-position model. The record is from RNAcentral. Lineage: Bacteria; Pseudomonadati; Pseudomonadota; Gammaproteobacteria; Oceanospirillales; Halomonadaceae.
CCUACGGGAGGCAGCAGUGGGGAAUAUUGGACAAUGGGGGCAACCCUGAUCCAGCCAUGCCGCGUGUGUGAAGAAGGCCCUCGGGUUGUAAAGCACUUUCAGUGAGGAAGAACGCCUGGUGGUUAAUACCCAUCAGGAAAGACAUCACUCACAGAAGAAGCACCGGCUAACUCCGUGCCAGCAGCCGCGGUAAUACGGAGGGUGCGAGCGUCAAUCGGAAUUACUGGGCGUAAAGCGCGCGUAGGUGGCUUGAUAAGCCGGUUGUGAAAGCCCCGGGCUCAACCUGGGAACGGCAUCCGGAACUGUCAAGCUAGAGUGCAGGAGAGGAAGGUAGAAUUCCCGGUGUAGAGGUGAAAUGCGUAGAGAUCGGGAGGAAUACCAGUGGCGAAGGCGGCCUUCUGGACUGACACUGACACUGAGGUGCGAAAGCGUGGGUAGCAAACAGGAUUAGAUACCCUAGUAGUC